ACGCUAGCGGGAGGCCUAACACAUGCAAGCCGAGCGGUAUUUGUCUUUCGGGACAGAGAGAGCGGCGUACGGGUGCGGAACACGUGUGCAACCUACCUUUAUCAGGGGGAUAGCCUUUCGAAAGGAAGAUUAAUACCCCAUAAUAUAUUGAUUGGCAUCAGUUAAUAUUGAAAACUCCGGUGGAUAGAGAUGGGCACGCGCAAGAUUAGAUAGUUGGUAGGGUAACGGCCUACCAAGUCAGUGAUCUUUAGGGGGCCUGAGAGGGUGAUCCCCCACACUAGUACUGAGACACGGACCAGACUCCUACGGGAGGCAGCAGUGAGGAAUAUUGGACAAUGGGUGAGAGCCUGAUCCAGCCAUCCCGCGUGAAGGACGACGGCCCUAUGGGUUGUAAACUUCUUUUGUAUAGGGAUAAACCUACUCUCGUGAGAGUAGCUGAAGGUACUAUACGAAUAAGCACCGGCUAACUCCGUGCCAGCAGCCGCGGUAAUACGGAGGGUGCAAGCGUUAUCCGGACUUAUUGGGUUUAAAGGGUCCGUAGGCGGAUCUGUAAGUCAGUGGUGAAAUCUCAUAGCUUAACUAUGAAACUGCCAUUGAUACUGCAGGUCUUGAGUAAAGUAGAAGUGGCUGGAAUAAGUAGUGUAGCGGUGAAAUGCAUAGAUAUUACUUAGAACACCAAUUGCGAAGGCAGGUCACUAUGUUUUAACUGACGCUGAUGGACGAAAGCGUGGGGAGCGAAC
RNAcentral lists this ribosomal RNA (740 nucleotides) under uncultured bacterium. RNAcentral describes it as "bacterial SSU rRNA". It matches the Rfam family "Bacterial small subunit ribosomal RNA", at positions 33 to 773 of the family's 1533-position model. The record is from RNAcentral.